RNAcentral lists this ribosomal RNA (274 nucleotides) under uncultured bacterium. Its description in RNAcentral is "partial 16S ribosomal RNA". It matches the Rfam family "Bacterial small subunit ribosomal RNA", at positions 524 to 796 of the family's 1533-position model. The record is from RNAcentral.
UACGGAGGGUGCGAGCGUUGUUCGGAAUUAUUGGGCGUAAAGCGCACGUAGGCGGUCUUUUAAGUCUCAUGGUGAAAUGCCGGGGCUCAACCCCGCGCUUGCCGGGGAUACUGGGAGACUGGAGACAGGUAGAGGCCAGCGGAAUUCCGGGUGUAGCGGUGGAAUGCGUAGAGAUCCGGAAGAACACCGGAGGCGAAGGCGGCUGGCUGGACCUGAUCUGACGCUGAGGUGCGAAAGCGUGGGGAGCGAACAGGAUUAGAAACCCCAGUAGUCC